Molecule: ribosomal RNA, 253 nt
Filed under: uncultured bacterium
Lineage: Bacteria
Description: partial 16S ribosomal RNA
Rfam family: Bacterial small subunit ribosomal RNA
Source: RNAcentral
GACAGAGGGUGCAAACGUUGCUCGGAAUUACUGGGCGUAAAGGGCGCGUAGGCGGGAUGGCAAGUCGGUCGUGAAAUCCCUCGGCUCAACCGAGGAACGUCGAUCGAUACUGCUGUUCUUGAGGAUUGCAGAGGAGACUGGAAUUCCCGGUGUAGCGGUGAAAUGUGUAGAGAUCGGGAGGAACACCGGUGGCGAAGGCGGGUCUCUGGGCAAUUCCUGACGCUGAGGCGCGAAAGCGUGGGGAGCAAACGGG